CUGGCAGCGCGGGAGCAAUCCUGGCGGNGAGUGGCGAACGGGUGAGUAAUACAUCGUAACGUGCCCAAUCGUGGGGGAUAACGCAGCGAAAGCUGUGCUAAUACCGCAUACGAUCUACGGAUGAAAGCAGGGGAUCGCAAGACCUUGCGCGAAUGGAGCGGCCGAUGGCAGAUUAGGUAGUUGGUGAGGUAAAGGCUCACCAAGCCUUCGAUCUGUAGCUGGUCUGAGAGGACGACCAGCCACACUGGGACUGAGACACGGCCCAGACUCCUACGGGAGGCAGCAGUGGGGAAUUUUGGACAAUGGGCGAAAGCCUGAUCCAGCCAUGCCGCGUGCAGGAUGAAGGCCUUCGGGUUGUAAACUGCUUUUGUACGGAACGAAACGGCCUUUUCUAAUAAAGAGGGCUAAUGACGGUACCGUAAGAAUAAGCACCGGCUAACUACGUGCCAGCAGCCGCGGUAAUACGUAGGGUGCAAGCGUUAAUCGGAAUUACUGGGCGUAAAGCGUGCGCAGGCGGUUAUGUAAGACAGUUGUGAAAUCCCCGGGCUCAACCUGGGAACUGCAUCUGUGACUGCAUAGCUAGAGUACGGUAGAGGGGGAUGGAAUUNCNCGUGUAGCAGUGAAAUGCGUAGAUAUGCGGAGGAACNNNNNAUGGCGAAGGCAAUCCNCNCUGGACCUGUACUGACGCUCAUGCACGAAAGCGUGGGGAGCAAAACAGGAUUAGAU
Molecule: ribosomal RNA, 726 nt
Filed under: bacterium EJ10-22
Lineage: Bacteria
Description: bacterial SSU rRNA
Rfam family: Bacterial small subunit ribosomal RNA
Source: RNAcentral